CCUACGGGUGGCAGCAGUGGGGAAUAUUGGGCAAUGGGCGCAAGCCUUACCCAGCAAUACCGCGUGAGUGAAGCAGGUCUUCGGAUUGUAAAGCUCUUUGAUCAGGGACGAACAGAUGCCGGUACCUGAAGAACAAGCCCCGGCUAAAUACGUGCCAGCAGCCGCGGUAAAACGUAAGGGGCGAGCGUUGUCCGGAAUGACUGGGCGGAAAUGGUGUGUUGGCGGCAUAAUAAGUUGGAAGUGGAAUACCCAGGGCUUAACUCGGGUGCUGCUUCUAGGACUGUUGAGCUUGAGUGCGGGGGAGGUUGAUGGAAUUCCUAGUGUAGCGGUGGAAUGCUUAGAUAUUAGGAAGAACACC
RNAcentral lists this ribosomal RNA (358 nucleotides) under uncultured bacterium. Its description in RNAcentral is "partial 16S ribosomal RNA". It matches the Rfam family "Bacterial small subunit ribosomal RNA", at positions 338 to 710 of the family's 1533-position model. The record is from RNAcentral.